UCGUCUUACAAAGGCAUUUCUUUGGUUCUCUGUCUUUGGACAUGUAAGCAUUGGAGGAAAAGAAAUUUUGUGGAUUUGGAGAAGUCUGAGGCCAGCUUGUUCACUGUAGGCUCAGGAUCAAUCAUCCCACAUAG
Molecule: small nucleolar RNA, 134 nt
Organism: Marmota marmota marmota (Alpine marmot)
Lineage: Eukaryota; Metazoa; Chordata; Mammalia; Rodentia; Sciuridae
Source: Ensembl